GAACCGUGACAGUAACCAUCGAGCCUGUCCCGGUACAUUCAGAGAAGGCUACGGCGGAAUCAAGCUAUUUCAGGAAAUGGGCCGGCUUCAUGAUGAAAUGAAUAUCUGCCGAAGAUUCGAAGAUGGCUUUAAGGUCCUAGUACCCACAGUGCUUAGAUUGACUCAAAGGAAAUCUCCCCUUGCAGAUCUGGCUUUGCAUGAAAGAGAGGCUGCCCUCACCGAAGAUGUCCCUGGGAUUGAUUUCAGAGCUGCAAUCCUGCUGUUGCCGAUCCUGUUCAGGGAGAAAAAUGACAUUCUCGUCAUACUGGGGA
Molecule: long non-coding RNA, 311 nt
Organism: Perca fluviatilis (European perch)
Lineage: Eukaryota; Metazoa; Chordata; Actinopteri; Perciformes; Percidae
Exons: 3
Source: RefSeq, a predicted model, not a curated record